UUCAAUAAAAUUUUUGUAAAUAGAUACAUAUAAUGUAUGUAUGUACCCAGGUCAUCGAUGGAGAUUGCAUUCAGAGAAAAAAUAUUAUCUUGUUCAAGGACAACAACUUCUGCGAAAAAAAUAUUUGCGGACCUAGAUGUGAUCUUUUUUAUCAUAUGAUACUUGUCACCGCAUUGUAUCAAUAAUUCGCGGAAAAAUGCAGAGUCGAUAAACGCUAUUCAAUGUAAUGACACCUCAUAUGAUAAAUUCAACAAUUACCGACCGCGAUCUAUAAUCUCUAAAAUCAAUACGCCGCCAUUUUGUCGACUCUUAUAGUCUCGGUACAUGUCGCCUAUUUUCUCAAGAAAAUACGAAGAUCCAAUGUCUCACGCCGAAAUAUCGUGAGAGUAAUAACGAAAGCGUGAUUAAACAAUGAUCGGGAGCGCCUGAAACAACUGAUAACGCAAAAUUACACGAAAAAUUCACUCACCGGCCGACGAAUCACGACACGAGGGGGUGAAGAGGUGAGGGAGGAGGUAGCGUUGCUUUCUUCCUGUAAUCCACCAAAAGGCACUUGAGCUGGCUGACACACCAGUAACACUAUUCUGAUUUCUUUUCACUUCACAGACACUUGCGGAUUUAUUCCGCUUUAAACCGCCCGAAGAAAACACACAAAUUAAUCGCUCAUUAAUACGGCACUCCCGGCACUCGCGACCGACAAACGCAUCCGAUGCAUUUGGAGCACGAAUCGGCCGGAUUUUCGUCGUUCAGGCCUCGCCUCUUACGUUCGAUUAUUCCGCCUCGAUCUCUACCGCGAACGAGACCAUCUGAUCCAAGCAGGAUCGCGAAACACUCGCGAAAUUCACCGAAACUCGAACGACCGACACGACAAAGGACGAGGACCCGAAGACGGUUGGCGCGUUACUUGCUGUAUUUCGCGUUUGAAUAUCUCAAGAUAUUAAUCUCGCGCUGUGAUUGGCCGGUCGCCGCGACGUAAUCAUAGACCAGUAAGCAGGGGUCAGGUGUAAUCAAGAUGGUCGCACGUUGCACCGUAAUCGUAAACCGUACUCGACUGUGAUUGGCCGAUCGCCGUGACGUAAGGGUAAACAGCGCUCAGCUGUGCUUUAAAACGAUCGCACUGUAAUUGUAUAGAUGACAUUGAUCGAUCGUCGCGUCUAAGUAUCGAACAAGCCUAAAUUAAUCUAACCUGAGUUUUGCAAUGUAUUAUUUAUACUUUAUUGAUAAAUGGAUCAUAAUGUUAUUUAUCAAUACUAUCACUUCAGUUGCAGUAAAAUUUGGUAUAUCAUUUAUGAUUUUUAUAUGUUCUUUAGAUUUAUAUUUCGAGAAAGAUUUCUAUAAGAUUGCUCAAGGUAAUUUUGAAAAGCGGCUGCUGUAGAUUUCCGAGAUGACUUUCGCAAGUUUCGUAGAAGCUAAUCAUCACUUAUAUUAAAUACUCCUAAUAUAUUAAUAUAGGUAAUUUUGAAAGGCGGCUGCUGUAGAUUUCCGAGAUGACUUUCGCAAGUUUCGUAGAAGAUUUCACCGGUGCGUUUCUUUGAUUGAGAUUUCGCAGAGAGAUUGAACGAGUUUGCGCAAGGAUGCGUAUGACGCGCUUAUUGUAUCCGAUCCUGUGUAAACGAGGACAAAGCGGAAGAAGACGCGGGGGAGACGCGAUGACGGAGUAGGGCGAAUGCGAAAGGGUCGAAAGGGUCGAGAAGCGGUAGAGAAGAGGAAGCAGCAGCUGAAGGAGGGCGAGAGGAGAUGGGAAGGUGAACGCGUACCUCACCUGGCAUACCGGGAGAGUAUCGCGACACAUUUUGAUCGAAUUCUUCUCGAGGUCGGGGAAUGCCGGUAUCUCCCGUAGAUAUUAUUACAUAUUUAGGCGGUGCUCGGCGAGCGAGAUAUCUCUCUCUCUCUAUUUUCCACUCCCUUUUCUCUCCCUUUUCACCUCCCUCUGUUCCUUUCUCGCUUCUCGUUUCGGUGAGUUAAUACACUUGGAGAAACGUAUUCUCUCUCUUUUCCAACCCCCUUUCAUCCCUCUCUCUCUCUCUCUCUC
This is a long non-coding RNA of Nylanderia fulva, 2032 nucleotides long. RefSeq lists it as uncharacterized. The record is from RefSeq and is a predicted model, not a curated record. Lineage: Eukaryota; Metazoa; Arthropoda; Insecta; Hymenoptera; Formicidae.